RNAcentral lists this ribosomal RNA (499 nucleotides) under uncultured Glomeromycotina. RNAcentral's name for it is "partial small subunit ribosomal RNA". It matches the Rfam family "Eukaryotic small subunit ribosomal RNA", at positions 591 to 1092 of the family's 1831-position model. Lineage: Eukaryota; Fungi; Glomeromycota. The record is from RNAcentral.
CCAAUAGCGUAUAUUAAAGUUGUUGCAGUUAAAAAGCUCGUAGUUGAAUUUCGAGAUCGGUUUAUUGGUCGUGCUAUUGUCCGUACUGGUAUUACCGGUUUCUCCUUUCUGACGAACCUUAAUGCCAUUAAUUUGGUGUUUUGGGAAAUCGGGACUGUUACUUUGAAAAAAUUAGAGUGUUUAAAGCAGGCUCACGCUUGAAUACAUUAGCAUGGAAUAACGGACAUGGACGUUUGAUUCUAUUUUGUUGGUUUCUAGGAUCGACGUAAUGAUUAAUAGGGAUAGUUGGGGGCAUUAGUAUUCAAUUGUCAGAGGUGAAAUUCUUGGAUUUAUUGAAGACUAACUACUGCGAAAGCAUUUGCCAAGGAUGUUUUCAUUAAUCAAGAACGAAAGUUAGGGGAUCGAAGACGAUCAGAUACCGUCGUAGUCUUAACCAUAAACUAUGCCGACUAGGGAUCGGAUGAUGUUAAUUUUUUAAUGACUCAUUCGGCGCCUUACG